GACGAACGCUGGCGGCGCGCCUAACACAUGCAAGUCGAACGAGCGAGAGAGAGCUUGCUUUCUCAAGCGAGUGGCGAACGGGUGAGUAACGCGUGAGGAACCUGCCUCAAAGAGGGGGACAACAGUUGGAAACGACUGCUAAUACCGCAUAAGCCCACGACCCGGCAUCGGGUUGAGGGAAAAGGAGCAAUCCGCUGAUAGAUGGGCUUGCGUCUGAUUAGAUAGUUGGUAAGGUAACGGCUUACCAAGUCGACGAUCAGUAGCCGGACUGAGAGGUUGAACGGCCACAUUGGGACUGAGACACGGCCCAG
Molecule: ribosomal RNA, 311 nt
Filed under: uncultured bacterium
Lineage: Bacteria
Description: bacterial SSU rRNA
Rfam family: Bacterial small subunit ribosomal RNA
Source: RNAcentral